This 344-nucleotide ribosomal RNA is filed under the name uncultured eukaryote. RNAcentral's name for it is "SSU rRNA". It matches the Rfam family "Eukaryotic small subunit ribosomal RNA", at positions 567 to 930 of the family's 1831-position model. The record is from RNAcentral.
CCAGCAGCCGCGGUAAUUCCAGCUCCAAUAGCGUAUAUUAAAGUUGUUGCAGUUAAAAAGCUCGUAGUUGAACUUCUGACAGGAGUGACCUGGCCUUUGGAUGAACUUCCAUUGUUUUGCUGUGUGUUAUCUCUAGUCAUCCUCUCUUAUUUUUUAAAUAAGAGUCUUUUACUGUUAGCAAAAUAGAGUGCUCCAAGCAAAGCGUAGUUUUGAAUACACUAGAAUGGAAUAAUUAGAUAGGACCUCGGUGCUAUUUUGUUGGUUUGCACACCAAGGUAAUGAUUAACAGGGACAGUUGGGGGUAUUCGUAUUUAAUUGUCAGAGGUGAAAUUCUUGGAUUUAUG